CUCCGCGUAGCGCAGCCUGGUAGCGUACCUGACCUGGGAUCAGGAGGCCGGAGGUUCAAAUCCUCCCACGGAGACCA
This 77-nucleotide transfer RNA is filed under the name Syntrophorhabdus sp. PtaU1.Bin153. RNAcentral describes it as "tRNA-Pro". It matches the Rfam family "tRNA". Rfam says of the family: Transfer RNA (tRNA) molecules are approximately 80 nucleotides in length. Their secondary structure includes four short double-helical elements and three loops (D, anti-codon, and T loops). Further hydrogen bonds mediate the characteristic L-shaped molecular structure. tRNAs have two regions of fundamental functional importance: the anti-codon, which is responsible for specific mRNA codon recognition, and the 3' end, to which the tRNAs corresponding amino acid is attached (by aminoacyl-tRNA synthetases). tRNAs cope with the degeneracy of the genetic code in two manners: having more than one tRNA (with a specific anti-codon) for a particular amino acid; and 'wobble' base-pairing, i.e. permitting non-standard base-pairing at the 3rd anti-codon position. Lineage: Bacteria; Pseudomonadati; Thermodesulfobacteriota; Syntrophorhabdia; Syntrophorhabdales; Syntrophorhabdaceae. The record is from RNAcentral.